UUUUAGCAAGAGGAAUCUACAGGAAAGGAGUUCACAUGUUAAACUGGCCUGCCUCCAGUCCAGACCUGCCAACAUUUGGAGCUUUAUGACAAGAUAAAGAGGACAGCUCUAUCAAACAAGAAUAAAGAAUCAGCUUCCAAAAGUACAACAAAAGGCUGAUUUAGAGAGGAGAGUCUGUUGAUAAAGAAGGUGAUAUAAGACAGUAGUAUGCAUGCACAUGUUCCUGCUUUGAUUGUCCUUGUGCUUUUUUUUUUUAAUGUUUAUUUAUAAGAUUUUAAGUUCGAGUUACAUAAAAUCACACCAGACAAAGGACAUAAGAUUCAAAAACAAUAACAUUCAAGCACAGAAAAAAAGAAAACCAAAAACAAAUAAACAACAAAAAAAACCCAAACAGGAAAACAGGAAACAAAAGACGGAAAAUACAGCGGUUAGCCAGUACAAAUCAAAAGUUCCAAAGAAAUACCAGUGUCCAAAGAAGAUGAUCUUUUGUGUGAGGUUAGACAGGGCAACAGAGAGUUCACCAAGUCCAGAAGAUGUGGGGAACAAGUCCAGGAAGGAAUCAGGGCCCGGCAGAAGUGCAGUUUCACACAAACACAAAGUGCAGUCAAAUGGGUUAAAGUUUAUGUUGAAUCCCUGUUAAUAUGAUUGAGAAAAGGGCCCCAGAUGUCGCCAAACUUAAAAUGAGUGUCAGCCAGGCCAUAAUGAACCUCUUCAAUAUACAAACAUGCAAUCAUCUCAUGUAGCCAAACCCUAAACAAUGGAGGAGAUGGCUCCAAGAACAAGUCUUUUAGCUACAAUCAUGCCAAACAUUAAGGCCUUCUGAAGAGGACGUCUGAGUGCCACUGAGGUCAGGGAGCAGCCUGGCACUGCAAGUGCACCAUUUUGUGCUAUUUUUUUUAAAUUAAAUAUUUGGUCUAAAGGAUUUAAUAUGAGAAUUUCUAUUUCCAGUUUUCAGUUUGUUUUAAAAAGUUUUGAAAUUUCCAAGAUCAGCAUUUUCAGUGGCAGAUGUUUG
Long non-coding RNA from Astatotilapia calliptera (eastern happy), 1012 nucleotides. The record is from Ensembl. NCBI's taxonomy places the organism in Eukaryota, Metazoa, Chordata, Actinopteri, Cichliformes, Cichlidae.